CCUCUCGUAGCUUAUUGGUCAAAGCAUCGAUGCGUAAAGCCAAAAGUCCCGGGUUCAAAUCUCGGCGAGAAUA
This 73-nucleotide transfer RNA is filed under the name Agrilus planipennis (emerald ash borer). It matches the Rfam family "tRNA". From Rfam's summary of the family: Transfer RNA (tRNA) molecules are approximately 80 nucleotides in length. Their secondary structure includes four short double-helical elements and three loops (D, anti-codon, and T loops). Lineage: Eukaryota; Metazoa; Arthropoda; Insecta; Coleoptera; Buprestidae. The record is from Rfam by way of RNAcentral.